UUGCUACUGAUGUAUUGAGAUCUACUCAGCUGCCUCUGCACCCAAUUCAGCAACACAAGGAUGGGGGCUUUGCAGCAUUCAGAGCCAUUUCUCCAGCCCCCAGGACGGUGCCCGGCACACAGCAGGUGUUCAGUGAACCUCUGCUGACAACUGAAACCGCACCGCUGGUCGUUGAGGACAAUGUCCGCAUCCUGUUCCCGAACCACUCUGGUGUUGGCCAAAUGCUCAGCUCUGAAGGCUCACUCCACGCCACACAGCUGGUCCUCCACCACGUACAGCAAGCAGCAGCCGUUCUCAUCCACCACACUCGGCAGCAGUGCUGGGCUCCCAAAGCCCACCCCAAAGAUGGCCAGGCCAAGGUGGUCGGCCACCCUGGCUCCAAAGUCAUGACAGCAUCUCAGGCCUCCUCCACGGAGCACCCUAUGGGAGGGAGGCUUCGGAAAAUCUCUGGCUGGUCCGCUCUGAGGGCACUGCUGGUGUCUUUACUUGGAAAGCAGAAAACACUGAAAGGUGGCGGGUGGAGGUAGAUGGUGUUGCAUCCUCCUGGGCAGACAAGUCGCUUGUGGUGAUGCUGAUGGCAGUAGGGUUGACAGGGAGCAGAGACGUGUGGCCCACGGCGGGAGGAGGUACCGUGCCAAUGCUGGGACUGCCUGAGAGAAUGAGCUGGGGCUGAGGCUGAUGGGGCAAAGGCUGGUGGCGAGGGUGUGCGUGAAGGCCGGUGGCAGUGAGAUCCGAGGCGGCCGAGCUGGACAAAAGACACAUUCAUUUAAACAAAGUGGUAGGACUCACAGCACCCAGUCCACAAUCAUCUCAGAGGAUCAAAAGUGGAGAGUCACUCUGCAAACCAGUAUGUAUCUGGCUUGUGAUAAGACAGCAUGCGGGUGGCCACGCACACUUUAACAAAACUGCAAGACUUCACAGGGUUACUCCCCAAGUGGGCAAGCCACUAGCAGAUCCGUAAACGUAGUGUCAUCAGGCGGCCUGUCCACAUACUUCGGAAACUUUUGCAGGGCAGAGAAUCCUAAAAUAGCCGGCAGCCCGCUGGGAUGUCUCCUGAAAUACUAGCGUUGGCACUGACACUUACACGAGAAUGGGCGUCCGCAGGCCGUGCUGCGGAUGAGUCUGCGGUUCCUGUGGUGCCUGCCCGAGGACAGGUGCUCCGGGAUGCGGUCCCUGGGCACGCGCAUAGGCAGCUCGCAGGCCGUGCAGGAAAGGGUCUCCACCACAGACGUGUCCCCAGAGUCACUGUGCUCAGUCAGGGGCUGCUACACCACCAGGUCGGUGAACUCCGCCGCGCAGUCGUGCAAAGUCUUUUUCCGGCCCAUUGUCGGGUCCGGGAUGGAAACGGAGGCAGCCUUGACCCCCGACCGAGGGCCCCGUGGGAUCUGCGCUCACCGCCUUGCGAGCAGAGGCGUUCGCGUCGGAGGCCCCACACUUGGGGAGCGGGGAGCUGGGGUCUCUGGUGGUCCCACAGGAGAAGGAGGAGGGACGGAGCAGGUGGGAAGGAUGAGCGCUCCCGCGUGCAGCGGUGGCUGGAGUGGGUCCCUCUGAGCUGGAGUGGUCUCCGAGGGGCGGCGGAUGCUCGGAGGAGGCGGGUCCCUUAGGGCCGGGGGCCAGGGCGAUCCCACCUGGAGAAGCCUCGCGGGCGAGAAGCGGGUCCCUUCCUGGGGCAGAUGGAGACGCGGGAGUCUUCCCCGAGAGGUGACCGAGGCCAGUUAGCGGCCCCUGGGGCCCAAGGCCGGGGACUCUCGACCGCCGGUGGACGGGUAGGGCCGGCCCGCCUGGGUAGGCGGCGGGGUGAAGGUCUCCGGGGCCCGAGGCGGCAACGUGCCACCCGCCGGGCAACCAGCCCAUCCCCAGCUCCCAUCUAGGGAUCCGCACCCGCGCGCCGCGGCGCCGCAGUUUAAAGCCCGUGAGAUCCUGCAACAACCCGGAUCC
Molecule: long non-coding RNA, 1938 nt
Organism: Macaca fascicularis (crab-eating macaque)
Lineage: Eukaryota; Metazoa; Chordata; Mammalia; Primates; Cercopithecidae
Source: Ensembl